GUGCAGCAGCCGCGGUAAUACCGGCAGCCCGAGUGAUGGCCGAUCUUAUUGGGCCUAAAGCGUCCGUAGCCGGCCGGACAAGUCCGUUGGGAAAUCGACGCGCCUAACGCGUCGGCGUCCAGCGGAAACUGUCCGGCUUGGGGCCGGAAGAUCCGAGGGGUACGUCCGGGGUAGGAGUGAAAUCCCGUAAUCCUGGACGGACCGCCGGUGGCGAAAGCGCCUCGGAAGGACGGACCCGACGGUGAGGGACGAAAGCUGGGGUCUCGAACCGGAUUAGAUACCCUGGUAGUCC
RNAcentral lists this ribosomal RNA (292 nucleotides) under uncultured bacterium. RNAcentral's name for it is "partial 16S ribosomal RNA". It matches the Rfam family "Archaeal small subunit ribosomal RNA", at positions 455 to 747 of the family's 1478-position model. The record is from RNAcentral.